AGCACUUGUGUUUGUUUUUGUUUAAUUUGUGAGCAAAGACUACAUACAGGUGCAAAAAAGAAAAUCCUCUUUUGUAACCCAGAACUUGUUCAGUCUGAGUUUUGAUACAUAUAAGCAGGAACAUG
Molecule: small nucleolar RNA, 125 nt
Organism: Pteronotus mesoamericanus
Lineage: Eukaryota; Metazoa; Chordata; Mammalia; Chiroptera; Mormoopidae
Product: small nucleolar RNA SNORA40
Exons: 1
Source: RefSeq, a predicted model, not a curated record